This 459-nucleotide ribosomal RNA is filed under the name uncultured bacterium. RNAcentral's name for it is "partial 16S ribosomal RNA". It matches the Rfam family "Bacterial small subunit ribosomal RNA", at positions 338 to 795 of the family's 1533-position model. The record is from RNAcentral.
CCUACGGGGGGCAGCAGUGAGGAAUAUUGGUCAAUGGUCGGGAGACUGAACCAGCCAAGCCGCGUGAGGGAGGAAGGUACAGCGUAUCGUAAACCUCUUUUGUCAGGGAACAAAGGCGGGGACGUGUCCCCGGCUGAGUGUACCUGACGAAAAAGCAUCGGCUAACUCCGUGCCAGCAGCCGCGGUAAUACGGAGGAUGCGAGCGUUAUCCGGAUUUAUUGGGUUUAAAGGGUGCGCAGGCGGUCUGUUAAGUCAGCGGUCAAAGCCCGGGGCUCAACCCCGGCCCGCCGUUGAAACUGGCAGUCUCGAGUGGGAGAGAAGUAUGCGGAAUGCGCGGUGUAGCGGUGAAAUGCAGAGAUAUCGCGCAGAACUCCGAUUGCGAAGGCAGCAUGCCGGCUCCACACUGACGCUGAGGCACGAAAGCGUGGGUAUCGAACAGGAUUAGAUACCCCGGUAGUC